UGCAUUAAGCUAACCAGUACUAAUUGCCCGUACGGCUUGUCCCUAUAACCUUAGCAGGU
This 59-nucleotide ribosomal RNA is filed under the name Janthinobacterium lividum. RNAcentral describes it as "partial 23S ribosomal RNA". The record is from RNAcentral. Lineage: Bacteria; Pseudomonadati; Pseudomonadota; Betaproteobacteria; Burkholderiales; Oxalobacteraceae.